This 98-nucleotide ribosomal RNA is filed under the name Acinetobacter sp. CUI P1. RNAcentral describes it as "partial 23S ribosomal RNA". It matches the Rfam family "Bacterial large subunit ribosomal RNA", at positions 1 to 96 of the family's 2925-position model. The record is from RNAcentral. Lineage: Bacteria; Pseudomonadati; Pseudomonadota; Gammaproteobacteria; Moraxellales; Moraxellaceae.
AGGUUAAGCUAAUAAGAGCACACGGAGGAUGCCUAGGCGCCAGGAGCCGACGAAGGACGUGGCGAACAACGAAACUGCCUCGGGGAGCUGUAAGCAAG